RNAcentral lists this ribosomal RNA (429 nucleotides) under Verrucomicrobiota bacterium. RNAcentral's name for it is "Verrucomicrobia bacterium partial 16S ribosomal RNA". It matches the Rfam family "Bacterial small subunit ribosomal RNA", at positions 355 to 776 of the family's 1533-position model. Lineage: Bacteria; Pseudomonadati; Verrucomicrobiota. The record is from RNAcentral.
UAGGGAAUCUUCGGCAAUGGGGGGAACCCUGACCGAGCAACGCCGCGUGAGUGAAGAAGGUUUUCGGAUCGUAAAGCUCUGUUGUUAAGGAAGAACGAGUGUGAGAAUGGAAAGUUCAUGCUGUGACGGUACUUAACCAGAAAGGGACGGCUAACUACGUGCCAGCAGCCGCGGUAAUACGUAGGUCCCGAGCGUUGUCCGGAUUUAUUGGGCGUAAAGCGAGCGCAGGCGGUUAGAAAAGUCUGAAGUGAAAGGCAGUGGCUCAACCAUUGUAGGCUUUGGAAACUGUUUAACUUGAGUGCAGAAGGGGAGAGUGGAAUUCCAUGUGUAGCGGUGAAAUGCGUAGAUAUAUGGAGGAACACCGGUGGAGAAAGCGGCUCUCUGGUCUGUAACUGACGCUGAGGCUCGAAAGCGUGGGGAGCGAACAGG